GCAGGAGGCCCCCAGGAAGCUGGAUAAAGAUCAGGUCUCUCUGCAGAAGCAGGAAGUUGUGCCCUUGCCUCGUGGCUUGUUUUCUGAGAACCGGUGGAAGUGCAGACCUUAGACGGCCUCCUGGGAGGGGGGACGGAGACGGGGCCCUGCAGUGGAGGCCACCUCUCUGCAGAGCUGCUUGGUUGGCACGGGCAGAGCUGAGAGCAUGUGCUGCAGACAGAGGCCCACAGGGAGGCCAGCCCUGCCCUGGAGCCCAGAGCUGCUCCCCCGUGUCCAGACCCAGCAGGAAAGUAAGUUUUCGGACUGAGAGUGAACACACCGCCCACACCAUCAACAUGUCCCAGUGUCCUCCCUGGGUCAUCAGACCUGGCCGCAUUCUGGGUCCCUUAAAAUUACAUCCUGAGCAGAUCAGCUCCAGCCUCCUCAGAACACCCUGGACUGAGCUAAGCAAGGCCGAGGCCCGGCUGACUCCUUCCACACACAC
Molecule: long non-coding RNA, 484 nt
Filed under: Sus scrofa (pig)
Lineage: Eukaryota; Metazoa; Chordata; Mammalia; Artiodactyla; Suidae
Description: lncRNA (ENSSSCG00070021836.1)
Source: RNAcentral